This 254-nucleotide long non-coding RNA is filed under the name Gossypium raimondii (Peruvian cotton). RNAcentral describes it as "long non-coding RNA (GRAI_LNC007238)". Lineage: Eukaryota; Viridiplantae; Streptophyta; Magnoliopsida; Malvales; Malvaceae. The record is from RNAcentral.
AGUUAACAAAAGAAAAAGAAUGAAACAAUAAAAAGAUGGGAGAGAAAAAACGUGGGUGACGUCAAAAAGAAAGGGAAAUUUCUUUUGGGAAAAUAAAAUAAUAAAAGAAAAAAAAAUAUAAACCUUUUGAUAAUGAUAUUAUUAAUUUUCUUUUUUCUUUUUUAAGAAAAACAUCAGAAAUCUCAAUCAUAUCUAACUAACCUCAAUUUCCUUAUAUCUUAUCAGAUUACCCAAAAAUUGCAUUUUACCCAACC